This 409-nucleotide ribosomal RNA is filed under the name bacterium. RNAcentral's name for it is "partial 16S ribosomal RNA". It matches the Rfam family "Bacterial small subunit ribosomal RNA", at positions 355 to 776 of the family's 1533-position model. The record is from RNAcentral.
UGGGGAAUAUUGCACAAUGGGCGAAAGCCUGAUGCAGCGACCCCGCGUGAGGGAUGACGGCCUUCGGGUUGUAAACCUCUUUCAGCAGGGACGAAGCGCAAGUGACGGUACCUGCAGAAGAAGCACCGGCUAACUACGUGCCAGCAGCCGCGGUAAUACGUAGGGUGCAAGCGUUGUCCGGAAUUACUGGGCGUAAAGAGUUCGUAGGCGGUUUGUCGCGUCGUUUGUGAAAACCAGCAGCUCAACUGCUGGCUUGCAGGCGAUACGGGCAGACAUGAGUACUGCAGGGGAGACUGGAAUUCCUGGUGUAGCGGUGAAAUGCGCAGAUAUCAGGAGGAACACCGGUGGCGAAGGCGGGUCUCUGGGCAGUAACUGACGCUGAGGAACGAAAGCGUGGGUAGCGAACAGG